Molecule: unclassified non-coding RNA, 218 nt
Filed under: Hevea brasiliensis (rubber tree)
Lineage: Eukaryota; Viridiplantae; Streptophyta; Magnoliopsida; Malpighiales; Euphorbiaceae
Source: RNAcentral
UGGACUAGUUUGGAUUCUAACCCAAUAGCCCUUCUCAACGUCAUAUGCUGCUAGCUUAUCACUUUCUGAAUAAACAUAAAACAACCCAUUGCACACAACCCCUGAACAAGCUAUUCCAAAAUCUACAGGAAGCCUCUGGAUCUCUGUCCAUUUAUUUGACAUGGAAUCAUAAAUUUCCCCAGAAUCCAGAGGCUCAUCCCAGCAACCGAGACCUCCUA